CCUACGGGUGGCAGCAGUGGGGGAUAUUGCACAAUGGGGGGAACCCUGAUGCAGCGACGCCGCGUGGGUGAAGGAGCGCUUCGGCGCGUAAAGCCCUAUCGGCAGGGAAGAAGAUAACCGUACCUGACCUAGAAGCCCCCGCGAAAUACGUGCCAGCAGCCGCCGUAAUACGUAGGGGGCAAGCGUUAGCCGGAUUUACUGGGUGUAAAGGGGGCGCAGACGGCAAUGCAAGCCAGGGGUGAAAGCCCGGGGCCAAACCCCGGGACUGCGCUUGGAACUGCAUGGCUGGAGUACCGGAGGGGCAGGCGGAAUUCCUGGUGUAGCGGUGAAAUGCGUAGAUAUUAGGAGGAACACCGGGGGCGAAGGCGGCCUGCUGGACUGUGACUGACGUUGAGGCCCGAAGGCGUGGGGAGCGAACAGGAUUAGAUACCCCUGUAGUC
This 440-nucleotide ribosomal RNA is filed under the name uncultured bacterium. RNAcentral's name for it is "partial 16S ribosomal RNA". It matches the Rfam family "Bacterial small subunit ribosomal RNA", at positions 338 to 795 of the family's 1533-position model. The record is from RNAcentral.